RNAcentral lists this ribosomal RNA (274 nucleotides) under uncultured bacterium. Its description in RNAcentral is "partial 16S ribosomal RNA". It matches the Rfam family "Bacterial small subunit ribosomal RNA", at positions 523 to 796 of the family's 1533-position model. The record is from RNAcentral.
AUACAGAGGGUGCGAGCGUUAAUCGGAAUUACUGGGCGUAAAGCGCGCGUAGGCGGCUACUUAAGUCAGAUGUGAAAUCCCCCGGCUCAACCUGGGAACUGCAUCUGAUACUGGGUAGCUAGAGUUUAGGAGAGGGAAGUAGAAUUUCAGGUGUAGCGGUGAAAUGCAUAGAGAUCUGAAGGAAUACCAGUGGCGAAGGCGGCUUCCUGGCCUAAAACUGACGCUGAGGUGCGAAAGCGUGGGUAGCAAACGGGAUUAGAAACCCGAGUAGUCC